GUUGUAUGGUAUAUGCUCUAGUUUCUUCAAAUUUUGCUUAAUGAUGGCUUAUCUUAAGAAGCUUAUCUUGAAUCUAACUUUGCUAUUUACCCUUCUCCUUUCAAUAAAAUUAGCAACAGCAAGUGCACACCUCUCGAAUAACAAAACAGAUGGACGUUUCCUUAAUGUUAGUGAAGAUGCACCACAGGGCCACCAUUAUAAUCAUGGAUGA
Molecule: non-coding RNA, 211 nt
Organism: Vicia faba (fava bean)
Lineage: Eukaryota; Viridiplantae; Streptophyta; Magnoliopsida; Fabales; Fabaceae
Source: the annotation of a GenBank genome assembly